Molecule: non-coding RNA, 27 nt
Filed under: Drosophila melanogaster (fruit fly)
Lineage: Eukaryota; Metazoa; Arthropoda; Insecta; Diptera; Drosophilidae
Also listed under: 26 other names
Source: RNAcentral
UUGACCUCGGAUCAGGUAGGAAUACCC